RNAcentral lists this ribosomal RNA (433 nucleotides) under uncultured bacterium. Its description in RNAcentral is "partial 16S ribosomal RNA". It matches the Rfam family "Bacterial small subunit ribosomal RNA", at positions 29 to 507 of the family's 1533-position model. The record is from RNAcentral.
AACGAACGCUGGCGGCAUGCCUAACACAUGCAAGUCGAACGAGACCUUCGGGUCUAGUGGCGCACGGGGGGGUAACGCGGGGGAACCUGCCCUUAGGUUGGGAAUAACCCCCGGAAGGGGGGGCAAAAACCGGAUAAGGUCUUCGAACCAAGGAUUUAUCGCCUUUGGAUGGGCCCGCGUUGGAUUAGCUAGUUGGUAGGGUAAAAGCCUACCAAGGCGACGACCCAUAGCUGGUCUGAGAGGAUGAUCAGCCACACUGGGACUGAGACACGGCCCAGACUCCUACGGGAGGCAGCAGUGGGGAAUAUUGGACAAUGGGCGAAAGCCUGAUCCAGCAAUGCCGCGUGAGUGAUGAAGGCCUUAGGGUUGUAAAGCUCUUUUACCCGGGAUGAUAAUGACAGUACCGGGAGAAUAAGCUCCGGCUAACUCCGUG